RNAcentral lists this ribosomal RNA (497 nucleotides) under uncultured bacterium. RNAcentral describes it as "partial 16S ribosomal RNA". It matches the Rfam family "Bacterial small subunit ribosomal RNA", at positions 28 to 507 of the family's 1533-position model. The record is from RNAcentral.
GAUGAACGCUGGCGGCGUGCCUAAUACAUGCAAGUCGAGCGAACAGACGAGGAGCUUGCUCCUCUGACGUUAGCGGCGGACGGGUGAGUAACACGUGGAUAACCUACCUAUAAGACUGGGAUAACUUCGGGAAACCGGAGCUAAUACCGGAUCAUAUAUUGAACCGCAUGGUUCAAUAGUGAAAGACGGUUUUGCUGUCACUUAUAGAUGGAUCCGCGCCGCAUUAGCUAGUUGGUAAGGUAACGGCUUACCAAGGCAACGGUGCGUAGCCGACCUGAGAGGGUGAUCGGCCACACUGGAACUGGGACACGGUCCAAACUCCUACGGGAGGCAGCAGUAGGGAAUCUUCCGCAAUGGGCGAAAGCCUGACGGAGCAACGCCGCGUGAGUGAUGGAGGUCUUCGGAUCGUAAAACUCUGUUAUGAGGGAAGAACAAAUGUGUAAGUAACUAUGCACGGCUUGACGGUACCUAAUCAGAAAGCCACGGCUAACUACGUG